AUUGAACGCUGGCGGCAUGCUUUACACAUGCAAGUCGAACGGCAGCGCGGGGCAACCUGGCGGCGAGUGGCGAACGGGUGAGUAAUAUAUCGGAACGUACCCAGAAGUGGGGGAUAACGUAGCGAAAGUUACGCUAAUACCGCAUACGAUCUACGGAUGAAAGUAGGGGACCGCAAGGCCUUAUGCUUUUGGGGCGGCCGAUAUCUGAUUAGCUAGUUGGUGAGGUAAAGGCUCACCAAGGCGACGAUCAGUAGCUGGUCUGAGAGGACGACCAGCCACACUGGAACUGAGACACGGUCCAGACUCCUACGGGAGGCAGCAGUGGGGAAUUUUGGACAAUGGGCGCAAGCCUGAUCCAGCAAUGCCGCGUGAGUGAAGAAGGCCUUCGGGUUGUAAAGCUCUUUUGUCAGGGAAGAAACGGUAGAGGCUAAUAUCCUUUGCUAAUGACGGUACCUGAAGAAUAAGCACCGGCUAACUACGUG
RNAcentral lists this ribosomal RNA (482 nucleotides) under uncultured bacterium. RNAcentral's name for it is "partial 16S ribosomal RNA". It matches the Rfam family "Bacterial small subunit ribosomal RNA", at positions 30 to 507 of the family's 1533-position model. The record is from RNAcentral.